ACCCACAGCCAUAUCACCCUGCAGCCCAAGACCGGUUACUCACUGAAGUUAAGCAGGGCUGAGCCUGGUCAGUACAUGGAGACCACAUGGGGAAACUAGAUUUCUGUUGGUA
RNAcentral lists this ribosomal RNA (112 nucleotides) under Danio rerio (zebrafish). The record is from RNAcentral. Lineage: Eukaryota; Metazoa; Chordata; Actinopteri; Cypriniformes; Danionidae.